Oreochromis aureus is the source of this 937-nucleotide long non-coding RNA. The record is from Ensembl. NCBI's taxonomy places the organism in Eukaryota, Metazoa, Chordata, Actinopteri, Cichliformes, Cichlidae.
UCAAAGUACACCAAAGUCCGCUGAUUCACCCAGUACAAGAAUUAUGCUUCUAGUCCACCUAGUUUUUGAGUUACACGACGUUUUUUAAAUAAAUUUAUCAUAAUACACUACAUUUUAACAUAAUGACCUUAUAUUUAUUUAUGACUUUUAACCAUUACUUCAAAUUCAAAUAAUCCUGUUUGAAAUAUUGAUUCAACUUAUAGAAUUAAAUUUCUGCUAGUUGUUUUCUGUUGCAAAGAAAUCUAGUAUAAUAAUAUUUAAAUUUACAUAUAUAUCUUUCACGUUUUCAAUGCCAAUUUUGUGUAAUAACGGAGUUUCCCACUACCCGUGAAUGCCUCUUUUUUUAUGUCGCCGGCUCACUCCUGCAUCUCCGCCCACUCUCUGCUGAUCCCUGCCGGCCCGAGUGAAAGAGAUCUUUGGUUUUGCCUUUGCUGACUGCUGAUCUGAUCGUCUCAAGUCUGGUGACCUGCUGCAGAAGAUCCUCUCUCUCUAUCAUUAUAAGCAAUUCUGUCUAUCCUAUCACUCUCCCGACUCUAUCUAAUUUGACAGCCAUUCUAUCUUGUAUCCCUCUAUCCUCUACUGCUCUAUCUAAUUUGACAGCCAUUCUAUCUUGUAUCCCUCUAUCCCUACUGCUCUAUCUAAUUUGACAGCCAUUCUAUCUUGUAUCCCUCUAUCCCAAGCGCUCUAUCUAAUUUCAGAAUCCAAGUUUUCAGAAAUCCAAGUUUUCAGAUUCCAAGUUUUCAGAAAUCCAAGUACCAGUACUUGAUCUAUCUGUUACAGAAUUCUGAGAGAUCUCUGCUCUCACUGCUCCUUCUUUCCUGUCAUUAAACUCUCUCACAUUCAGUCAUUUUGCUGAAAAUUACAAUUAGAAAGUUGAAUAUACAGUAGUAGAAUAUCAGUACAGUAGAACUUAUAGUAGAAACUACUUAUACAGCCC